AUGUGAUGGGGGCAUGCGUCCAGGAGAUUGUUGAAGCGCUCCCAAUAUUCGUAGGGAGUCUCGGAUUCGCCUUGAAUAAUCAUAGAAAUUUCUUUCCUCAAUCU
Molecule: small nucleolar RNA, 104 nt
Organism: Arachis stenosperma
Lineage: Eukaryota; Viridiplantae; Streptophyta; Magnoliopsida; Fabales; Fabaceae
Source: RefSeq, a predicted model, not a curated record